This is a long non-coding RNA of Herpailurus yagouaroundi (jaguarundi), 2647 nucleotides long. RefSeq lists it as uncharacterized. The transcript has 3 exons. The record is from RefSeq and is a predicted model, not a curated record. Lineage: Eukaryota; Metazoa; Chordata; Mammalia; Carnivora; Felidae.
ACAGCAAGGGAGGGAAGCGGGAAGGGGAACUGGGAUUUGCUACUGCUCUACCAAAUUACAGCGUGCAAAGCUAGCUCCAGGUGGUGGGCUCCUGAGUGUCACCGCCAGGGUACAAACCUCAGUUGUGCCCUCUACUUACUGUGUGACCAUGUGUGAAUGGGCAAACUCUCUGAACUUGAGUUUGCCUCUCAGCAAAACAGUACCUACUUCCUGGGACUGUCAGGGGCACUGAAUGAGAUGACAAGCGACCCUUACCCCAGCACCUGGUACACAGCAAACACUCCAUCCAAUCCGGACACGAUUAUCAUUCUGCCAGAACUUCUGUGAAAUUUGGUUACAGGUCUGCACUCCUGAGCGAUGAAAGGGCACAGGCCUUAGAAAUAAGAAGACCCAGGUUGAAAACUGGCUCUGCCACCUAUGAUGACCACCUUCUUGAGUUUUCUGGGCCUCAGGCUCCCCCUGGAAAAUGGAGAUAAAGUAAACAACCGCAGAGGACUGCGGUGAGAAAUGAAGCACAUGGUGUUUGUAAAGUGCUUGGAGCAGCACUGGCCUGUCCCCCACUAGGUGAGGCCACAGCAAGGAGAUAGUCAUCUGCAACACAGGAAGAGGAGCUCCACCAUAACCUGCUCAUGCUGGCCCCUUGAUCUCAGGUGUCCAGCCCCCAGAACUACGAGAAAUAAAUGACUGAUGAGCAAGCUUCCCCCUCCCCGCCCCUGCCAUCUGUGGCAUUUUAUUAUGGGAGCCUGGACUCAUACAGGCGUUAUAUGAUUAGAACUGACAGACACCGAAGCCGGCUGAUUCAAGGGCGAGGUCCAGGCUGGAGAUACAAACCCAGGAGGCCUCAGCACGCGGACAAGUUAGUACAACAAAAGGGGGGUAAUAUACUUCCUACCUCACAGGUGGCUGUGAGGACUGAAAUAGAUACUUCACAUGGCCUGCUUAGCACUGUGGUAGGGCACGUAUGAAAGCUUGGUAAAUGGGACUGUUAACCUGCAGAAGAUCACACAAGGAUAUGCUCUUGGAAUCACAGAAUUUUGGAUAGAUUCUCUAGCUCAAAAACCUUAAUUUGUAGCUAGGGAGACUAAGCUAAGCCAAGAUUAUUGACUUGCCUGGCAUUUUUCUACCAUUAACGAUUGUUUUUUUUAAGAUUUACAGACCCAGCCAUAAAGGAGGAAGGUGAAGUUUAACCGUACCUUGAUAUUCAAUUAGACAGAAGGGUACCAAUAAACCUUGGAAAUGCCAACGCCAAAGAGCACUCUUUAGUCCUGAUUUUGUGACUCCUUCUUCAUCCAAUGCUGCUGGCCAGUCUCCUAAUUUGGUUUCCAUGAAAUGAUUCUCUCUCGAUUUCCUGAAGAGAAAGAGAGGGAAAGAGGAAACAUUAAAAGGCAAAAGGGAAAGUGACUGGGGUUGCAUCCCCUGGAAGCAGAGCCCAUGACAGGAUUGUAGGGUCCUGAGUCAGUGAAGGAAGCAGCACGGGGCAGGGCGGGUACCAAGAAGGAUGUGACCUCAAGUGGAGACGAGCCUCGUCUCCCGGGCAGCUCCAGAGCAGGAACUGCACCAGAAGUGGGUCCCACCUGGCGGAAGGAGAGCAGCUGCGCGUGCUCGCAUUGGUCAGUCAAUGGAAUGGGCAGUCAGGGCAGCGAGGGCGCAUUCCAGGGUGGGUUGUUCACAGGCAGCCCCUGUCUCACUGAGGGCAAUUCUGCAAGAAGGGGGCAGCUGUGAAUUAGCCCCCAACACUCACAGCAGCGAGAAGGUGGGUGCACCUGCUCCCCAGAAAGGGGAUCUGGGUAGAGACCCCAUUAUGCCCACCACGGAGACAGGGAGGGCAGAAGCGAGGACCGCUGUAUUCACCGAUCAUCGGAGAAGUGCCCUAGAGGCUUCAUUCUCAUGACUGCCAUCUUCCUAAAAACCCAACAAGGUCAGUGGGUAGGCAUUACUAAUUCCAGCUUAUUGAUGAGGAAAAAGGGAGCGUUUGUCCAAAAUUUCGAAGGAACAAUGAAGUGACCCCCCCACCCCCAGAAAACAACCAACCAAUGUGAGAAAGUGUCAAAUUAUUCACUUUUAAAGACCAGCCCAGAAGGACCUCAAAACCUCAAUUCUAGGAUUAGGGAGAAGGCUUCAGACAUCGAUUUCCUAUACUGCUUAAAUUUUCCAGGCCCCAAGUUCCAAGUCUAUCAAAUGGGCAUGGCAUUAAUGGACUGUGGUAGGCUGAGUAAUCGUCUCCAAAGAUUCCUACAGCCUACUUUUGGGAACCUGUGAAUGUUACCUUACAUGGCACAGGGGAUUUUACAGAUGUGAUUAAAGUAAGGGUCUUGAGGUGGAAAUUAUCCUGGAUUAUCUGGUGAAUUCUAAAUGUAGUCACAAAUGUCCUUAGAGAGAGAAGCAGAGAGAGACUGGCAACAGAAAAGAAGAAGGCCAUGUGACAACAGAAGCAGAUUCAGAGAAAGAAGAUGCCAAGCCUCUGGCUUUGAAGAUGAAGAAGGGGCCCACGAGCCAAGGAAUAUUCUAGAAGCAACAAACGUAAGGAAAUGGGACUCUCCUGGAGCCUCCAGAAGGAACUAGCCAAUACUUUUAUUUUAGCCCCGUAAGACUCUCUUUGAACUUCUGACUUCCAGAAUUGAGAAUAAAUCUGAAUUAUUCCAAGCCA